AACGAACCGGAAUAAAAUAAGUAUUGUCGAUUGCCUUUAUAUUAAAUUUAAUGGACUAUACAUAAGUAAUGCACAUGUUAAAUGUUAUAAGGACGUAGACCGCUUGUAUAUCGUUAAAUACAUUGCGCGCGUUUAUUAAAAAUUUCAAAACACGUAGCGCCUCGCCGUUUGAACAAUGGUUUUUGUUCGUUAAGUCGUUCACCAAAAGUUUUUAGGUGUAUAAUGAAUUUCGAAA
Cinara cedri is the source of this 235-nucleotide non-coding RNA. The record is from the annotation of a GenBank genome assembly. NCBI's taxonomy places the organism in Eukaryota, Metazoa, Arthropoda, Insecta, Hemiptera, Aphididae.